RNAcentral lists this ribosomal RNA (486 nucleotides) under uncultured bacterium. RNAcentral describes it as "bacterial SSU rRNA". It matches the Rfam family "Bacterial small subunit ribosomal RNA", at positions 30 to 507 of the family's 1533-position model. The record is from RNAcentral.
AUUGAACGCUGGCGGCAUGCCUAACACAUGCAAGUCAACGGUAACGCGGAGAGCUUGCUCUCUGGCGACGAGUGGCGGACGGGUGAGUAACACGUAGGCAACCUGCCUGUAAGACUGGGAUAACUCCGGGAAACCGGUGCUAAUACCAGAUAGAAUCUUAGACCUCCUGGUCUUUGAUGGAAAGGCCUUGUGCCACUUACAGAUGGGCCUGCGGCGCAUUAGCUAGUUGGUGGGUAACGGCCUACCAAGGCGACGAUGCGUAGCCGACCUGAGAGGGUGAUCGGCCACACUGGGACUGAGACACGGCCCAGACUCCUACGGGAGGCAGCAGUAGGGAAUCUUCCGCAAUGGACGAAAGUCUGACGGAGCAACGCCGCGUGAGUGAUGAAGGCUUUCGGGUCGUAAAACUCUGUUGUUAGGGAAGAACAUCCGGGAUAACCUCCCGGUCUGACGGUACCUAACGAGGAAGCCCCGGCUAACUACGUG